RNAcentral lists this ribosomal RNA (460 nucleotides) under uncultured bacterium. RNAcentral's name for it is "partial 16S ribosomal RNA". It matches the Rfam family "Bacterial small subunit ribosomal RNA", at positions 338 to 795 of the family's 1533-position model. The record is from RNAcentral.
CCUACGGGUGGCAGCAGUGAGGAAUAUUGGUCAAUGGGCGCGAGCCUGAACCAGCCAAGUAGCGUGAAGGAUGACUGCCCUACGGGUUGUCCACUUCUUUUAUAAAGGAAUACAGUGAGGCACGUGUGCCUUUUUGUAUGUACUUUAUGAAUAAGGCUCGGCUAACUCCGUGCCAGCAGCCGCGGUAAUACGGAGGAUUCGAGCGUUAUCCGGAUUUAUUGGGUUUAAAGGGAGCGUAGAUGGGAUGUUAAGUCAGUUGUGAAAGUUUGCGGCUCAACCGUAAAAUUGCAAUUGAUACUGGCAGCCUUGAGUACAGUUGAGGUAGGCGGAAUUCGUGGUGUAGCGGUGAAAUGCGUAGAUAUCACGAAGAACUCCGAUGGCGAAGGCAGCUUACUAAACUGCCACUGACAUUGAUGCUCGAAAGUGUGGGUAGCAAACAGGAUUAGAUACCCCAGUAGUC